This 1255-nucleotide long non-coding RNA is filed under the name Salmo salar (Atlantic salmon). Its description in RNAcentral is "lncRNA (ENSSSAG00000114682.1, ENSSSAG00020083182.1)". Lineage: Eukaryota; Metazoa; Chordata; Actinopteri; Salmoniformes; Salmonidae. The record is from RNAcentral.
GGGUGACUAAUGUCGGUGGCGGCUCUGGUGCAGGACGAAGAACCUUCUCAUCCCGCGGAUCCUCCAGCAGAGGAGGCAGCUCUGGUUCCGGGCGUAGCCCCAGCUCCGCCCGCUGAUCCCUCCGCUUUUGUGUCACCGGACCCUGGAUCGUUGCCGAAGGACCCGGACUGCAGACCGCCGCUGGAGGUUCUGGACUGCAGACCGCCGCUGGAGGUUCUGGACUGCAGACCGCCGCUGGAGGUUCUGGACUGCAGACCGCCGCUGGAGGCUCCGGACUGGAGGACGUCGCUGGAGGCUCCGGACUGGAGGACGUCGCUGGAGGAUCCGGACUGUGGGAUGUCUCAGGAGGCCCCGUAGUGUGGGCCUUCUCAGGAAGUUCCGGACUGUGGGCCUUCUCAGGAAGUUCCGGACUGUGGGCCGUCUCAGGAGGUUCCGGACUGUGGGCCGUCUCAGGAGGUUCCGGACUGGGAACUGUCUCCGGAAGCUCUGGACUGGGAACUGUUGCCGGAAGCUCUGGACUGGGAACUGUCGCCGGAAGCUCUGGACUGGGAAUGCGCACUGGAGGCCUGAUGCGUGGGGCUGGCACAGGUGGCACCAGACUGGUAACACGCACCUCAGGGCGAGUGCGGGGAGCAGGAACAGGACUGGAGAGACUCACUGGAGGCCUAGUGCAUGGAGCUGGGACAGGUGGCCCCAGACUGGAGACACGCACUUGUGAAGGCAUACUGGCGACACAGUGCGUAGAGCUGGCGCAGGAUAUCCUGGACCGAGGAGGCUUACUGGAGACCAGGAGCGCUGAGCCGGCACAAUCCGUCCUGGCUGAAUGCCCACUCUAGCACGGCAAAUGCGGGGCGCAGGCACAGAUCGCACCGGGCUAUGAAUGCGCACUGGUGAUAUAGUGCGCAUCACAGCAUAACUCGGUGCCUGACUGGUCACAUGCUCCCUACGGUAAGCACGGGGAGUUGGCUUAGGUCUACAACCUGACUCCGUCAAUCUCCCCGUGUGCCCCCCCCAAAAAAAUGUAUGGAGGAGCUGUCUCUCGGGCUUCUGUCGUUGCCGUGCUAGUUCCUCGUAUUGUCGCCGUUCCUCUCUCGCUAUCUCCGCCUGCUUCCAUGGCAGGGUCUUGUCCCCUGCCAUUACCUCCUCCCAGGUCCAGGAUGUCCUCCACUCUCUUCUCUCCAGAGCCCAGGAUCCCUGGUCCUCCUGGGCAUGCUGCUUGGUCCUUUGGUGGUGGGAGAUUCUGUCACAUCGUUCG